This 473-nucleotide ribosomal RNA is filed under the name uncultured bacterium. RNAcentral's name for it is "partial 16S ribosomal RNA". It matches the Rfam family "Bacterial small subunit ribosomal RNA", at positions 28 to 507 of the family's 1533-position model. The record is from RNAcentral.
GAUAAACGCUGGCGGCGCACAUAAGACAUGCAAGUUGAACGGACUUAAUCGAAAUAUUUAUAUUUUGAAGCGGUUAGUGGCGGACUGGUGAGUAACGCGUAAGGAACCUGCCUAUUAGAGGGGAGUAACAGUGAGAAAUCAUUGCUAAUACCGCAUAUGCCAUAGAUAUCACAUGAUAACAGUGGGAAAGGAGCAAUCCGCUAAUAGAUGGCCUUGCGUCUGAUUAGAUAGUUGGUGGGGUAACGGCCUACCAAGUCGACGAUCAGUAGCCGGACUGAGAGGUUGAACGGCCACAUUGGGACUGAGAUACGGCCCAGACUCCUACGGGAGGCAGCAGUCGGGAAUAUUGCGCAAUGGAGGAAACUCUGACGCAGUGACGCCGCGUAUAGGAAGAAGGUUUUCGGAUUGUAAACUAUUGUCGUUAGGGAAGAGAAAGGACAGUACCUAAGGAGGAAGCUCCGGCUAACUACGUG